UGAGGAAUAUUGGUCAAUGGACGCAAGUCUGAACCAGCCAAGUAGCGUGCAGGAUGACGGCCCUCUGGGUUGUAAACUGCUUUUAGUUGGGAAUAAAAAGAGGGACGUGUCCCUUAUUGUAUGUACCAUCAGAAAAAGGACCGGCUAAUUCCGUGCCAGCAGCCGCGGUAAUACGGAAGGUCCAGGCGUUAUCCGGAUUUAUUGGGUUUAAAGGGAGCGCAGGCGGCGGCGUAAGUCAGUUGUGAAAUCGUGCGGCUUAACCGUGCAAUUGCAGUUGAUACUGCGUCGCUUGAGUGCACACAGGGAUGUUGGAAUUCAUGGUGUAGCGGUGAAAUGCUUAGAUAUCAUGAAGAACUCCGAUCGCGAAGGCAUAUGUCCGGAGUGCAACUGACGCUGAGGC
This 400-nucleotide ribosomal RNA is filed under the name uncultured bacterium. Its description in RNAcentral is "bacterial SSU rRNA". It matches the Rfam family "Bacterial small subunit ribosomal RNA", at positions 355 to 752 of the family's 1533-position model. The record is from RNAcentral.